GCGCUGGUAGUAUAGUGGCCCAGUAUACCGCGUUGCCAACGCGGUGACCCGGGUUCAAAUCCCGGCCAGCGCA
Molecule: transfer RNA, 73 nt
Filed under: Candidatus Woesearchaeota archaeon
Lineage: Archaea; Nanobdellati; Candidatus Woesearchaeota
Description: tRNA-Gly
Rfam family: tRNA
About the family: Transfer RNA (tRNA) molecules are approximately 80 nucleotides in length. Their secondary structure includes four short double-helical elements and three loops (D, anti-codon, and T loops).
Source: RNAcentral